Vicia villosa (hairy vetch) is the source of this 348-nucleotide long non-coding RNA. RefSeq lists it as uncharacterized. The record is from RefSeq and is a predicted model, not a curated record. NCBI's taxonomy places the organism in Eukaryota, Viridiplantae, Streptophyta, Magnoliopsida, Fabales, Fabaceae. The transcript is spliced from 3 exons.
GCCCCUUUCAUGUAAUAGAAAACCCUUUGACGAAAACCCUUUGACGGCCGCCAAAAUCUCUUUAACCUCAAAUCUCAGCUUCUCGUGUCUCAGUCUCUCGUCUGCCGUUCAAUGUUCAAUGUUCGAAAUCCGCCACCACCACAUUAUCACGAUGGUUUGCUAAAGAAUAUUGAGGAAUGAAGUUUUGGGUUUUUUUAAAUGGUUAACAAUUCAGGGAUUAUUGGAACUAUAAUUAAUGACAAAGAGUUAUUUAAUGCUAUCAUCAACCGUGAGGUAAGAAUUCUUCGAGUAUUUGAGAAAAGCCUACAUGGUGUAAAAAAAUUUAAAGAAUAAUUAUUUUGUAUUUAU